RNAcentral lists this ribosomal RNA (494 nucleotides) under uncultured bacterium. Its description in RNAcentral is "bacterial SSU rRNA". It matches the Rfam family "Bacterial small subunit ribosomal RNA", at positions 28 to 507 of the family's 1533-position model. The record is from RNAcentral.
GAUGAACGCUAGCGACAGGCUUAACACAUGCAAGUCGAGGGGAAACGAUAUUGGAAGCUUGCUUCCGAUAGGCGUCGACCGGCGCACGGGUGAGUAACGCGUAUCCAACCUGCCCAUCACUUGGGAAUAACCUUGCGAAAGUAAGACUAAUGCCCAAUGACAUUUAUAGAAGGCAUCUGAAAUGAAUUAAAGAUUUAUCGGUGAUGGAUGGGGAUGCGUCUGAUUAGCUUGUUGGCGGGGUAACGGCCCACCAAGGCGACGAUCAGUAGGGGUUCUGAGAGGAAGGUCCCCCCACAUUGGAACUGAGACACGGUCCAAACUCCUACGGGAGGCAGCAGUGAGGAAUAUUGGUCAAUGGGCGAGAGCCUGAACCAGCCAAGUAGCGUGCAGGACGACGGCCCUAUGGGUUGUAAACUGCUUUUAUAAGGGAAUAAAGUGGGUCACGUGUGACUUUUUGCAUGUACCUUAUGAAUAAGGACCGGCGUAAUUCCGUG